This is a long non-coding RNA of Spinacia oleracea (spinach), 575 nucleotides long. RefSeq lists it as uncharacterized. The record is from RefSeq and is a predicted model, not a curated record. Lineage: Eukaryota; Viridiplantae; Streptophyta; Magnoliopsida; Caryophyllales; Amaranthaceae. The transcript is spliced from 2 exons.
UCAAUAUUCAAUACAAUCAAAGUAAGUAGAAAAGAAAAAGCUAGAAAAUGGCGAAACAGUCAAAGUUGGCUCUCUUGGCAUUUCUGAUGCUGGCUAUAGCUGGUGCGACGAUGGGGACGAUGCAAGCAAACAGUGAGACAAACCCUGAAGUCAUGAAAGCAUCCAUAAUACAAGAACUGGGAAAGGAACAAGUUGUUGCUGUUGCUGUUAUUAUAAUUACCUGCAGGCAAUAUUGCAUAACUUUAAAAAAGUAGGCUUGGAAGAAGCAAAUCUGGCCAUGGUUACUGAACAAAAGCCACUUAAAUGCCAGAAAAAAGGAGGCAUUUGUAAUGCAUUGGGUGGCUCUGAUUGUUGUCCCGGACUUGGUUGUGUGCCGGGCUAUCCAAUUGGCACUGGUUAUUGCUACUAAGAAUUAAGAAAUUAAAGGAUAUAAUGUAUGUAUCCGACCUAGGCCGCCGCCUGGCCUGCUGUACGUUAUUUCAAAUUAUGUAUGUUAUGUAACUGUGUUGUGUCAUGUGCUAUCAUCGAUGCUUAUAUAGUUAUAUAAACUUCAAUAAAUUGUUCACUUUCCUUUA